GACGAACGCUGGCGGCGUGCUUAACACAUGCAAGUCGUACGGUAAGGCCCUUUCGGGGGUACACGAGUGGCGAACGGGUGAGUAACACGUGAGUAACCUGCCCACAACUUUGGGAUAACGCUAGGAAACUGGUGCUAAUACUGGAUAUGUUCUCCUGCUGCAUGGUUGGGGUUGGAAAGCUCCGGCGGUUGUGGAUGGACUCGCGGCCUAUCAGCUUGUUGGUGGGGUAGUGGCCUACCAAGGCGGCGACGGGUAGCCGGCCUGAGAGGGUGACCGGCCACAUUGGGACUGAGAUACGGCCCAGACUCCUACGGGAGGCAGCAGUGGGGAAUAUUGCACAAUGGGCGCAAGCCUGAUGCAGCAACGCCGCGUGCGGGAUGACGGCCUUCGGGUUGUAAACCGCUUUCAGCAGGGACGAAGCUUUUUGUGACGGUACCUGCAGAAGAAGCACCGGCUAACUACGUG
Molecule: ribosomal RNA, 465 nt
Filed under: uncultured bacterium
Lineage: Bacteria
Description: partial 16S ribosomal RNA
Rfam family: Bacterial small subunit ribosomal RNA
Source: RNAcentral